UUAAGUUAUUAAGGGCGCACGGUGGAUGCCUUGGCACUAGAAGCCGACGAAGGACGUUACUAACGACGAUAUGCUUUGGGGAGCUGUAAGUAAGCUUUGAUCCAGAGAUUUCCGAAUGGGGAAACCCGGCACGAGUUAUGUCGUGUUAUCGAUAUGUGAAUACAUAGCAUAUCUGAAGGCAGACGCGGAGAACUGAAACAUCUUAGUACCCGCAGGAAGAGAAAGAAAAAUCGAUUCCCUGAGUAGCGGCGAGCGAAACGGGAAGAGCCCAAACCAACGAGCUUGCUUGUUGGGGUUGUAGGACACUCUAUACGGAGUUACAAAAGAACAGACUAGACGAAUCAUCUGGAAAGAUGAAUCAAAGAAGGUAAUAAUCCUGUAGUCGAAAGUUUGUUCACUCUUGAGUGGAUCCUGAGUACGACGGAACACGAGAAAUUCCGUCGGAAUCUGGGAGGACCAUCUCCCAAGGCUAAAUACUCUCUAGUGACCGAUAGUGAACCAGUACCGUGAGGGAAAGGUGAAAAGUACCCCGGAAGGGGAGUGAAAUAGAACUUGAAACCGUGUGCUUACAAGUAGUCAGAGCCCGUUAAUGGGUGAUGGCGUGCCUUUUGUAGAAUGAACCGGCGAGUUACGAUUUGAUGCAAGGUUAAGCAGUGAAUGUGGAGCCGUAGCGAAAGCGAGUCUGAAUAGGGCGUUGAGUAUUUGGUCGUAGACCCGAAACCAGGUGAUCUACCCAUGACCAGGUUGAAGUUCAGGUAACACUGAAUGGAGGACCGAACCGACUUACGUUGAAAAGUGAGCGGAUGAGUUGUGGGUAGCGGAGAAAUUCCAAUCGAACCUGGAGAUAGCUGGUUCUCUCCGAAAUAGCUUUAGGGCUAGCCUCAAGUGAUGAUUAUUGGAGGUAGAGCACUGUUUGGACGAGGGGCCCUUAUCGGGUUACCGAAUUCAGACAAACUCCGAAUGCCAAUCAAUUUAACUUGGGAGUCAGAACGCGGGUGAUAAGGUCCGUGUUCGAAAGGGAAACAGCCCAGACCACCAGCUAAGGUCCCAAAAUAUAUGUUAAGUGGAAAAGGAUGUGGCGUUGCCCAGACAACUAGGAUGUUGGCUUAGAAGCAGCCAUCAUUUAAAGAGUGCGUAAUAGCUCACUAGUCGAGUGACACUGCGCCGAAAAUGUACCGGGGCUAAACAUAUUACCGAAGCUGUGGAUUGUCCGUAAGGACAAUGGUAGGAGAGCGUUCUAAGGGCGUUGAAGCAUGAUCGCAAGGACAUGUGGAGCGCUUAGAAGUGAGAAUGCCGGUGUGAGUAGCGAAAGACGGGUGAGAAUCCCGUCCACCGAUUGACUAAGGUUUCCAGAGGAAGGCUCGUCCGCUCUGGGUUAGUCGGGUCCUAAGCUGAGGCCGAUAGGCGUAGGCGAUGGAUAACAGGUUGAUAUUCCUGUACCACCAUUAUUCGUUUUAAGCGAUGGGGGGACGCAGUAGGAUAGGCGAAGCGUACGAUUGGAUUGUACGUCCAAGCAGUGAGAUUGAGUGUUAGGCAAAUCCGGCACUCUUAAGAUUGAGCUGUGAUGGGGAGAGGAAAUUGUUUCCUCGAGUCGUUGAUUUCACACUGCCAAGAAAAGCCUCUAGCUAGAAUUGUGGUGCCCGUACCGCAAACCGACACAGGUAGUCAAGAUGAGAAUUCUAAGGUGAGCGAGCGAACUCUCGUUAAGGAACUCGGCAAAAUGACCCCGUAACUUCGGGAGAAGGGGUGCUCUUUAGGGUUAACGCCCAGGAGAGCCGCAGUGAAUAGGCCCAAGCGACUGUUUAUCAAAAACACAGGUCUCUGCUAAACCGUAAGGUGAUGUAUAGGGGCUGACGCCUGCCCGGUGCUGGAAGGUUAAGAGGAGUGGUUAGCUUCUGCGAAGCUACGAAUCGAAGCCCCAGUAAACGGCGGCCGUAACUAUAACGGUCCUAAGGUAGCGAAAUUCCUUGUCGGGUAAGUUCCGACCCGCACGAAAGGCGUAACGAUUUGGGCACUGUCUCAACGAGAGACUCGGUGAAAUCAUAGUACCUGUGAAGAUGCAGGUUACCCGCGACAGGACGGAAAGACCCCGUGGAGCUUUACUGUAGUCUGAUAUUGAAAUUCGGCACAGCUUGUACAGGAUAGGUAGGAGCCUGAGAUACGUGAGCGCUAGCUUACGUGGAGGCGUUGGUGGGAUACUACCCUCGCUGUGUUGGAUUUCUAACCCGCACCAUUUAUCAUGGUGGGAGACAGUGUCAGAUGGGCAGUUUGACUGGGGCGGUCGCCUCCUAAAGAGUAACGGAGGCGCUCAAAGGUUUCCUCAGAAUGGUUGGAAAUCAUUCAUAGAGUGUAAAGGCAUAAGGAAGCUUGACUGCGAGACUUACAAGUCGAGCAGGGUCGAAAGACGGACUUAGUGAUCCGGUGGUUCCGCAUGGAAGGGCCAUCGCUCAACGGAUAAAAGCUACCCCGGGGAUAACAGGCUUAUCUCCCCCAAGAGUUCACAUCGACGGGGAGGUUUGGCACCUCGAUGUCGGCUCAUCGCAUCCUGGGGCUGUAGUCGGUCCCAAGGGUUGGGCUGUUCGCCCAUUAAAGCGGUACGCGAGCUGGGUUCAGAACGUCGUGAGACAGUUCGGUCCCUAUCCGUCGUGGGCGUAGGAAAUUUGAGAGGAGCUGUCCUUAGUACGAGAGGACCGGGAUGGACAUACCUCUGGUGUACCAGUUGUCGUGCCAACGGCAUCGCUGGGUAGCUAUGUAUGGACGGGAUAAGUGCUGAAAGCAUCUAAGCAUGAAGCCCCCCUCAAGAUGAGAUUUCCCAACUUCGGUUAUAAGAUCCCUCAAAGAUGAUGAGGUUAAUAGGUUCGAGGUGGAAGCAUAGCGAUAUGUGCAGCUGACGAAUACUAAUCGAUCGAAGACUUAAUCAA
RNAcentral lists this ribosomal RNA (2921 nucleotides) under Staphylococcus saprophyticus. RNAcentral's name for it is "bacterial LSU rRNA". It matches the Rfam family "Bacterial large subunit ribosomal RNA". The record is from RNAcentral. Lineage: Bacteria; Bacillati; Bacillota; Bacilli; Caryophanales; Staphylococcaceae.